This 757-nucleotide ribosomal RNA is filed under the name uncultured bacterium. RNAcentral describes it as "bacterial SSU rRNA". It matches the Rfam family "Bacterial small subunit ribosomal RNA", at positions 8 to 796 of the family's 1533-position model. The record is from RNAcentral.
AGAGUUUGAUCCUGGCUCAGAACGAACGCUGGCGGCGUGCCUAACACACGCAAGUCGAACGAGAUCUUCGGAUCGAGUGGCGGACGGGUGAGUAUAACAUAGGCAACCUGCCCAUCAAUGGGGGAUACCCAGCCGAAAGGUUGGCUAAUACCGCAUACGCUCAUCAUCUGGAAUGGUGGUGAGGAAAGAUUUAUCGUUGAUGGAUGGGCCUAUGGUCGAUUAGCUAGUUGGUGAGGUAAUGGCUCACCAAGGCGACGAUCGAUAGCUGGUCUGAGAGGAUGAUCAGCCACACUGGGACUGAGACACGGCCCAGACUCCUACGGGAGGCAGCAGUGGGGAAUUUUCCGCAAUGGGCGAAAGCCUGACGGAGCGACGCCGCGUGGAGGAUGACGGUCUUCGGAUUGUAAACUCCUGUCAAGGGGGACGAUAAUGACGGUACCCCUGGAGGAAGCAUCGGCUAACUACGUGCCAGCAGCCGCGGUAAGACGUAGGAUGCGAGCGUUGUUCGGAUUUAUUGGGCGUAAAGCGUGCGUAGGCGGCUGUUUAAGUCUGGUGUUAAAGCUAGGGGCUCAACCCCUGUGAUGCACUGGAAACUGGGCAGCUUGAGUGUGGUAGGGGAAGGUGGAAUUCCUAGUGUAGCGGUGAAAUGCGUAGAUAUUAGGAAGAACACCGGUGGCGAAGGCGACCUUCUGGGCCACUACUGACGCUGAGGCACGAAAGCGUGGGGAGCAAACAGGAUUAGAUACCCUAGUAGUCC